RNAcentral lists this ribosomal RNA (1298 nucleotides) under Paenarthrobacter sp. RNAcentral describes it as "bacterial SSU rRNA". It matches the Rfam family "Bacterial small subunit ribosomal RNA", at positions 99 to 1408 of the family's 1533-position model. Lineage: Bacteria; Bacillati; Actinomycetota; Actinomycetes; Micrococcales; Micrococcaceae. The record is from RNAcentral.
CGAACGGGUGAGUAACACGUGAGUAACCUGCCCUUGACUCUGGGAUAAGCCUGGGAAACUGGGUCUAAUACCGGAUAUGACCAUCUGACGCAUGUCAUGGUGGUGGAAAGCUUUUGUGGUUUUGGAUGGACUCGCGGCCUAUCAGCUUGUUGGUGGGGUAAUGGCCUACCAAGGCGACGACGGGUAGCCGGCCUGAGAGGGUGACCGGCCACACUGGGACUGAGACACGGCCCAGACUCCUACGGGAGGCAGCAGUGGGGAAUAUUGCACAAUGGGCGGAAGCCUGAUGCAGCGACGCCGCGUGAGGGAUGACGGCCUUCGGGUUGUAAACCUCUUUCAGUAGGGAAGAAGCGAAAGUGACGGUACCUGCAGAAGAAGCGCCGGCUAACUACGUGCCAGCAGCCGCGGUAAUACGUAGGGCGCAAGCGUUAUCCGGAAUUAUUGGGCGUAAAGAGCUCGUAGGCGGUUUGUCGCGUCUGCUGUGAAAGACCGGGGCUCAACUCCGGUUCUGCAGUGGGUACGGGCAGACUAGAGUGCAGUAGGGGAGACUGGAAUUCCUGGUGUAGCGGUGAAAUGCGCAGAUAUCAGGAGGAACACCGAUGGCGAAGGCAGGUCUCUGGGCUGUAACUGACGCUGAGGAGCGAAAGCAUGGGGAGCGAACAGGAUUAGAUACCCUGGUAGUCCAUGCCGUAAACGUUGGGCACUAGGUGUGGGGGACAUUCCACGUUUUCCGCGCCGUAGCUAACGCAUUAAGUGCCCCGCCUGGGGAGUACGGCCGCAAGGCUAAAACUCAAAGGAAUUGACGGGGGCCCGCACAAGCGGCGGAGCAUGCGGAUUAAUUCGAUGCAACGCGAAGAACCUUACCAAGGCUUGACAUGAACCGGAAAGACCUGGAAACAGGUGCCCCGCUUGCGGUCGGUUUACAGGUGGUGCAUGGUUGUCGUCAGCUCGUGUCGUGAGAUGUUGGGUUAAGUCCCGCAACGAGCGCAACCCUCGUUCUAUGUUGCCAGCGCGUUAUGGCGGGGACUCAUAGGAGACUGCCGGGGUCAACUCGGAGGAAGGUGGGGACGACGUCAAAUCAUCAUGCCCCUUAUGUCUUGGGCUUCACGCAUGCUACAAUGGCCGGUACAAAGGGUUGCGAUACUGUGAGGUGGAGCUAAUCCCAAAAAGCCGGUCUCAGUUCGGAUUGGGGUCUGCAACUCGACCCCAUGAAGUCGGAGUCGCUAGUAAUCGCAGAUCAGCAACGCUGCGGUGAAUACGUUCCCGGGCCUUGUACACACCGCCCGUCAAGUCACGAA